UCGGGUUAGCUUGUGCACAUCUUGACCAUUCCAUCAACUACCUGUUAUAUCUCCUCUCGAGAUGUCCCUGAAUUAGGAUUGAUCAUAAUUUUAUCCUUCUCUUGCAGGCUUGGUAUAGUCUUUUGUUGAUCUUCCUGCAUAGUAAAGAGUCUAGCCAAACCAGUUACAGUGAUUCCAAUAGUUUCCUAUCCAUUGUUGUCUUUAUCGUUCUGGGUAUGGUCAUGUUGAGAUGCUUGUUCGUUUGCGGUUUGAGUCUCUUUAGA
RNAcentral lists this long non-coding RNA (263 nucleotides) under Solanum tuberosum (potato). RNAcentral describes it as "long non-coding RNA (STUB_LNC011263)". The record is from RNAcentral. Lineage: Eukaryota; Viridiplantae; Streptophyta; Magnoliopsida; Solanales; Solanaceae.